RNAcentral lists this ribosomal RNA (465 nucleotides) under Vreelandella stevensii. RNAcentral describes it as "partial 16S ribosomal RNA". It matches the Rfam family "Bacterial small subunit ribosomal RNA", at positions 338 to 795 of the family's 1533-position model. Lineage: Bacteria; Pseudomonadati; Pseudomonadota; Gammaproteobacteria; Oceanospirillales; Halomonadaceae. The record is from RNAcentral.
CCUACGGGUGGCAGCAGUGGGGAAUAUUGGACAAUGGGCGAAAGCCUGAUCCAGCCAUGCCGCGUGUGUGAAGAAGGCCUGCGGGUUGUAAAGCACUUUCAGUGGGGAAGAAAGCCUUGGGGCUAAUACCCUCGAGGAAGGACAUCACCCACAGAAGAAGCACCGGCUAACUCCGUGCCAGCAGCCGCGGUAAUACGGAGGGUGCGAGCGUUAAUCGGAAUUACUGGGCGUAAAGCGCGCGUAGGCGGUCUGAUAAGCCGGUUGUGAAAGCCCCGGGCUCAACCUGGGAACGGCAUCCGGAACUGUCAGGCUAGAGUGCAGGAGAGGAAGGUAGAAUUCCCGGUGUAGCGGUGAAAUGCGUAGAGAUCGGGAGGAAUACCAGUGGCGAAGGCGGCCUUCUGGACUGACACUGACGCUGAGGUGCGAAAGCGUGGGUAGCAAACAGGAUUAGAUACCCCGGUAGUC